Molecule: ribosomal RNA, 254 nt
Filed under: uncultured bacterium
Lineage: Bacteria
Description: partial 16S ribosomal RNA
Rfam family: Bacterial small subunit ribosomal RNA
Source: RNAcentral
UACGGGGGGGGGCAAGCGUUGUUCGGAAUUACUGGGCGUAAAGGGCUCGUAGGCGGCCAACUAAGUCGGAUGUGAAAUCCCCAGGCUUAACCUGGGAACUGCAUCCGAUACUGGAUGGCUUGAAUCCGGGAGAGGGAUGCAGAAUUCCAGGUGUAGCGGUGAAAUGCGUAGAUAUCUGGAGGAAUACCGGUGGCGAAGGCGGCAUCCUGGACCGGCAUUGACGCUGAGGAGCGAAAGCUAGGGGAGCGAACAGG